CUGAUGCCAUCUCCCAGCCUCUGCUUCUCCGCAGGCUUCCUGGAACACCCUCCGUGCCUCUGCAGAGUUCCUGGGCUGGAGGAGGCUCAGCUUCCUGGCUGAGACAGAGCAGGCACACCAGAUCAGAGAGUGCUUGAUAACGCACAAGAGGAACAGCGUGGACGAGUAUCUGCGCCAGAGCCUGCCCUACGUGGAGAACCCUCAGGCCACCGUGCGGGAGGAGGCCGUCAGGUUCAUCGGGCUUGCUGUGCGGCGCCGGAGUACCCUCAGCCAGGAGAGGGUGUGGCAGAUCUGCAACAGUGAGUAGGGGACAGCCUGGGCAGGAAAAUGCUCCAGGGGCAGAUGAGCGGUUUCAGAAAGUUGUUUGUGUCUUAACACAUAGGUUAGCAGGUUACUCUUUAGUAAGGUCUUGAAAUUGGAGGAAUUUUGUUUCCUCACCAAAAAGGAAGGGAAUCUGUGGGGAAAGAACAGCCGUCUCUGUCCUGCCCCUUGCCAGGAGGCUGAUGAUGUCCAGACUCCACACUGGGAUGC
Molecule: long non-coding RNA, 531 nt
Filed under: Athene cunicularia (burrowing owl)
Lineage: Eukaryota; Metazoa; Chordata; Aves; Strigiformes; Strigidae
Description: lncRNA (ENSACUG00000012683.1)
Source: RNAcentral